Molecule: long non-coding RNA, 762 nt
Organism: Thunnus maccoyii (southern bluefin tuna)
Lineage: Eukaryota; Metazoa; Chordata; Actinopteri; Scombriformes; Scombridae
Exons: 3
Source: RefSeq, a predicted model, not a curated record
UUUUAACGCACCUAAAACCUGUAAUGCCGCGAAACGAGUGACUGUCAGAUUGGUAAAACGUGUUGUGUGUGUGUGAUAUCCCCGCCACGCUGAGGCCAAACACUGAACAGCAGUGCAGCAGGGGAGAUAGAGUGCCGUGUUGAGUCCCAGGUGUGUUUGUCUAAGCACACAGGCUGCACACUGGAGUGCAAGUGAAUUCAUUAUUUUCCAUCUAAAAGUGUAUUCUGAGUUCAUGUAAGAGUGGUUAUAAAAUAUAUUUUGUUCAUGAAUAUAUAUUUUUCUAAACUAAUGUAAUUUUCUGCAAGGUAGUGACAUAAGUUGAGUGGUGGAGCAAAUGUAUUUAUUUGUGUUGUAUUUCUAUUUUAUUUUAUUUAUUUAAGAAGCGAGCCACUACUGUUGUCUAUAGAUACUUCAUGUCUAGAGUUCAUUAGAUUCAGUUUUCUGUUGGAAAGCUUGAGAUGGAGUCAGGCUACUAUUAGCGUUAAUGUACUGUGAUAUUCCAGGUGGCCUAACUGCACCAUUGUUGUUUGCACUAUAGUAGACAGUUAGGAGCAAUGAACAAGUCAUCAUCAAGUUUUCAUCAGGAAAAUUGUUUCAGGAAAGUUGUUCAUAGGAGAAAUAUCUGAUUCUUUAUUGUUUUCCCUGUUGUGAAUUAAGUAUAAAACACAGGAAAAGUGAUAUUAUUUUGUUAUCAUUGUGAUUAUCUCAAACCCUCAAAAUUAGAGUUAACGCUGUUCUUUAUUGAGUGCAGUCGGGGAAAUA